AGUUUGGAUUCAUGUGAGGAUUGUACAGGACCUGUGUCAAGUCUAAAAUGGCUUGGAUAUACCUGCAAAUUAUGUUCAAGAUCAUGGCACAAAACCUGCUUCAUGAAGACUAUGUCAAUGGUCAGUGUUGAAAUAUCCAGUUCUGAAGGAUCCAGUUCUGAUAAAGAAUAUCUACCUUGCUCGGGUAUUGAUGGCUCUUCUACUGACAAUGCUACAAGUAGCAACAGUGAUGACAGUCUUUCCCUCAACGCCAUGCCAGCAUCUUGCAUGAGCCCGCCUCUUCUUUUGGAGUCUUCUAAGAAGAGGUCAAUGAGCUUGCCACAAUCUUCAAGU
Molecule: long non-coding RNA, 333 nt
Organism: Thalassophryne amazonica
Lineage: Eukaryota; Metazoa; Chordata; Actinopteri; Batrachoidiformes; Batrachoididae
Exons: 3
Source: RefSeq, a predicted model, not a curated record